Molecule: ribosomal RNA, 366 nt
Filed under: uncultured bacterium
Lineage: Bacteria
Description: bacterial SSU rRNA
Rfam family: Bacterial small subunit ribosomal RNA
Source: RNAcentral
AUUGAACGCUGGCGGCAGACCUAACACAUGCAAGUCGAGCGGCAGCGGAAAGUAGCUUGCUACUUUGCCGGCGAGCGGCGGACGGGUGAGUAAUGUCUGGGAAACUGCCCUGAUGGAGGGGGAUAACUACUGGAAACGGUAGCUAAUACCGCAUAACCUCGAAAGAGCAAAGUGGGGGAUCUUCGGACCUCACGCCAUCGGAUGUGCCCAGAUGGGAUUAGCUAGUAGGUGAGGUAAUGGCUCACCUAGGCGACGAUCCCUAGCUGGUCUGAGAGGAUGACCAGCCACACUGGAACUGAGACACGGUCCAGAUCCUACGGGAGCAGCAGUGGGAAUAUUGCACAAUGGCGGCAAGACCUCGAUGCA